UUAGGAAUCUUGCGCAAUGGGCGAAAGCCUGACGCAGCAACGCCGCGUGAGGGAUGAAGGCUCUCGGGUUGUAAACCUCUUUCAGCAGGAACGAAAUUGACGGUACCUGCAGAAGAAGCUCCGGCCAACUACGUGCCAGCAGCCGCGGUAAUACGUAGGGAGCAAGCGUUGUCCGGAUUUAUUGGGCGUAAAGAGCUCGUAGGCGGUUUAGAAAGUCAGGUGUGAAAACUCCAGGCUCAACCUGGAGACGCCACUUGAUACUUCUAUGACUUGAGUUCGGUAGGGGACCAUGGAAUUCCUGGUGUAGCGGUGAAAUGCGCAGAUAUCAGGAGGAACACCGAUGGCGAAGGCAGUGGUCUGGGCCGAAACUGACGCUGAGGAGCGAAAGCGUGGGGAGCGAACAGGAUUAGAUACCCCCGUAGUCC
This 425-nucleotide ribosomal RNA is filed under the name uncultured bacterium. Its description in RNAcentral is "bacterial SSU rRNA". It matches the Rfam family "Bacterial small subunit ribosomal RNA", at positions 355 to 796 of the family's 1533-position model. The record is from RNAcentral.